CCUACGGGAGGCAGCAGUGGGGAAUAUUGGGCAAUGGGCGCAAGCCUGACCCAGCAACGCCGCGUGAAGGAAGAAGGCUUUCGGGUUGUAAACUUCUUUUCUCAGGGACGAAACAAGUGACGGUACCUGAAGAAUAAGCCACGGCUAACUACGUGCCAGCAGCCGCGGUAAUACGUAGGUGGCAAGCGUUAUCCGGAUUUACUGGGUGUAAAGGGCGUGUAGGCGGGAAGGCAAGUCAGAUGUGAAAGCCAUGGGCUCAACCUGUGGCCUGCAUUUGAAACUGUCGUGCUUGAGUACUGGAGAGGCAGACGGAAUUCCUAGUGUAGCGGUGAAAUGCGUAGAUAUUAGGAGGAACACCAGUGGCGAAGGCGGUCUGCUGGACAGAAACUGACGCUGAGGCGCGAAAGCGUGGGGAGCAAACAGGAUUAGAUACCCGAGUAGUC
Molecule: ribosomal RNA, 443 nt
Filed under: uncultured bacterium
Lineage: Bacteria
Description: partial 16S ribosomal RNA
Rfam family: Bacterial small subunit ribosomal RNA
Source: RNAcentral